RNA transcript from Cryptomeria japonica (Japanese cedar), 1512 nucleotides. It is a transcript of the gene named mitochondrial ATP-independent inner membrane protease subunit 1a, with no coding region annotated. The record is from RefSeq and is a predicted model, not a curated record. The transcript is spliced from 6 exons. Lineage: Eukaryota; Viridiplantae; Streptophyta; Pinopsida; Cupressales; Cupressaceae.
ACCCUUGGAUUACUGAUUAGGGUAAAUAGUUAUACUUCGCGUUUGCCUAGCUGUUCAGCUGAGCGGACUUAAUAUUCUUGCCUUAUUUAAAUGUAGCUGAAAAGAGUAGCUUCGCAGAAUUUAUGUUCUCAAUUUUUCUUGAAUGCUUGCUCAUUUGUAGUCUAAUUGGCCGUUGCUGUCACAAAUUUGAGAAACCGAGCAUCUAAUUUGACAAGGUAUUUGCUGCUUUCCGGCCGUAAACCUAAAAUUCUUAGAAAGAAUUUCAAAACCCAUUAUCUGUUCUAGAAACGUAGCAUCAGUUAUCUUAAUAUCUACGAGUACUCAAAUCAGGUUAAUAGAACUUAAGAGUACAUCCAAGUAUGAUAGAAAAGACUACGUGAACUUAAAACUCUUACUGACUGAGGCUGAUAAACUUUGCUUUAAAUGUGCUGUAUCUGCAAUUUUUUUUUUUCCUUGAGGCCUAUUCAACAGCUCAUUUUGAUGCGUAUUCUACAGCCAUUCCAUUCCAAUAGACUGCACGCUGUUCAAGAUUUGGGAAGAGAUGCCAAGGAGAUUAGCGCAUGAGAUCAUUGGUUUACCUUGGAGGAAGUUUGCAGGGGAGGUAUGGCGCCCCACAUGUAUUUUUCUCAAGUUCGUAUGCUUCAUGGACGUGCUAAGCAAUUAUGUUGGUGGUUUAACGCUGGUUGGUCUCUCGACCUUUCGUUAUCCUCCUUUAUGCCCGACUCUAUGUAUGUUGUUGAUUGUGCACAGCCAAUGGGACCUAGCAUGCUCCCUACGUUUAAUAUCUCAGGCGAUGUUGUUCUCACAGAAAAAAUAUCUCAUAGAUUUGGAAAGAUAAAGCAUGGCGACAUUAUUCUAUUACGCUCCCCAGAAAAUCCAAGGAAGGUACCCAAAGGGCAUGUAUGGGUUGAAGGUGAUAACCCAUCUGUUUCAAAAGAUUCAAGGAAUUAUGGGGCUGCUCCUUGUGCGCUUAUAGAAGGAAAAUUAUUUUUUAGGAUCUGGCCAAUUGAAGGAUUUGGACACCUGAAAUGAAGCAGUUCUUCAAGGUACACCAUUAGAAGUCUCUGGUUUAAUUGGUUAUCGAGUGAGCCUUAGAUGGAUGCAAUAUUUUUGUGGUACCUGUACAACAUAAGAGUGUUUUGGCAGAUUGUAUUUGAUGAUAACGUAACAAAAUUGAGGUGGUUGGUCAACGUCGAAGGAUACAGUAAACAAUAAUGGUUCGUAUUUGUUUAUUUUAGAUUUCAAUAAACAUUGAAGAUGCUAUUUGCUUGCACUUAAAUUCUUUUAGGCUCGAUAAUUUGCUUGGAAACAUUUGGUGAUGAAUGACUCGAUUUUUGUUCUCACGACGUUUGUAUUGAAUAUUUCAAAGUUGCUACUCGCAUUUUUGGUAGUUGAUGGAAGAUGAUAUUAUAGUGUAUUUUUGUUUGUAAUUUUUUUUAACGAAGUGAUUGAGAAUUGAAGUGAAAAUUAAAAGAAUGCUGACUUUUAAUUUGGUCAGGUAUUUUCUUUGAA